Molecule: ribosomal RNA, 253 nt
Filed under: uncultured bacterium
Lineage: Bacteria
Description: partial 16S ribosomal RNA
Rfam family: Bacterial small subunit ribosomal RNA
Source: RNAcentral
UACGAAGGGGGCUAGCGUUGCUCGGAAUCACUGGGCGUAAAGCGCACGUAGGCGGAUUGUUAAGUCAGGGGUGAAAUCCUGGAGCUCAACUCCAGAACUGCCUUUGAUACUGACGAUCUCGAGUUCGGGAGAGGUGAGUGGAACUGCGAGUGUAGAGGUGAAAUUCGUAGAUAUUCGCAAGAACACCAGUGGCGAAGGCGGCUCACUGGCCCGAUACUGACGCUGAGGCACGAAAGCGUGGGGAGCAAACAGG